Molecule: long non-coding RNA, 5817 nt
Organism: Trichoplusia ni (cabbage looper)
Lineage: Eukaryota; Metazoa; Arthropoda; Insecta; Lepidoptera; Noctuidae
Exons: 16
Source: RefSeq, a predicted model, not a curated record
ACACGUAGUUACUGUUGCUGCUAUUGUGUUUCACAGUUAAAUUAAAAAGCAGAAGAGUGCUUGAUAAUAAAUUCAGUGUAUUGAUUCGAGUGCUCAGUAACAGAGUUUAAUAUUAACAAAAUUAUAUGUUUAGGGCAAAUGUAUCUGAUAAAGAUCGUUCAAGUGAGAGUCUGACUCGCGGCGUAAUACAGCUUGUUUAAAGGUUGAAUACAAAUCGGUUAUUAAUCGUGGGUAGUACAGUAAUACAGUCUCCUCAACUAUGAUUUACAUGAUCGGUAAAAAUUUACCCAUAAAACGGGUAAAAUCGAUCAAUAACCGAAGCCCACAGCGCAUGCUCUACGCGGAAUUAGGAGGGGGGGGGGUUAAAGCGAGCUGCAGUGACCGCGCCCAGGUCGUGGCUAUAAAAGGUUUGUAUACUUUCCUGUUGUUUAAGCUGAUAGCGACAUCGAUACAAUGGCCUCUGGUUGUUUUCGAAAAAUUUCGUCACACUCUGUGACGACACCCAUUCUGUCCUGUUUCCUUGAUAUUUGCUCCCGCCUCCUCAUCCUGAUGAAAAUCCUCCUCCAUCCUGCUCAACGUCUAUGUAUGAAUCGAAGCAAAUGCAAGCAAGCAAAAACAAAUUCAAUUCAAAUGAAGAAGAAGAAAGAAGGAGAAGAGAAAAAUAAGACAUACCACCAGCCAGAUGAUAAAAUCUCUGGCCACCUGUGCACCAGGAAAACUCUCAACGAAUGCUUUAGAGAAGAUAGUCAAUGUUGGAUGAAAUAAUGAUUUUGAAGAAGAAUAAUUUUGUGAACAUUCAACUCCUGGUGCAUAUACCGUAUUACUGGAUGGUGGUAAAUGAUAAGACUUGGAAGACAUGGCUAAGGGUAUUGGAAAUACUUGUUCGAUAAACGCGUUGAAGAGAAAAAUCUAGCAGAAAAGACGAGAGCCUGAAGAAUAAGCUGAGAUUGAAGAGCCAGUUGGUGAACAAAGUAGCUUGGUCCUCUUACUAUGGCAACCGAGCAAUAUCAAUCACCAAAAACCAAAAACAAGUAGCCUCAUGCUCCGUCCCGCAGGCUCCGUCGAAAUAAGUCGAUUUGGCUAGCUUCUACACAGCCAGAUCUAACAUCUUAGCCAUCAAUACGAAAAAAAAAAAUGAAAUCAUGAUGAAAACCAAAAUUUUGUAAGUGAAAAAUCAUGAAAUCUUCACUUAAAGCAUUUAAAGGUAUUGAGUUGGAGGUAAUUUUUCAGGUUUCAGAAUGUAAUAUAUAAAAAACUUCACAAGGAAGUAAUAGUCCGUGUAUGAGUAAGAAGAACUAAGUAUAACAAAAUUGCGAUGAAGAAAUAUAAAAAAAGGGAAAAUUAAAAAAAAGAACUGAAUAGUUCUGAUCGCAAGAAACGGUUAUCAAGACCUGGUUAGGGAAAACCAGUUAAAGAGUAUUGAGGCAACAGGAGUUGUCUUGAUGCUAUCAUAAAGGAUCUGUAUGCUCAUUUGUGCAUGCGUUGGGGCAAGCCCUUAACGCGUUGCUCAAAAAAUAACCACAGGUAUUUAUGUUUUUUUAAUUACGUACGCGGUUAAGGCGAUUGCAUUCUUCUUCGGGAUCUCACAGUCUUUUCUUAGCUAUCACAAUAAGGAAUGAUUCGUACGUAUGGUUACAAUAUUUUUAUGUAACAUUCUAAAUUUAUUUUAGGGACUCUAAUAGUUAGAUUUUAAGACUAUUUGUUAAUAAGGUUUUACCAAAUUUGAAGGAGUAAUGUGGACGCACUGUACUUCACAGUCGUGUUCUAAUAGGAAUCCAAAUUUGGUUUUAAAUGAGUGGCAUGUCCCAAGUGAAAAGGGUAAAAAUUCUUUAAAAUUUCAAGUCUAAAAUAGGAGAAUAGAAUUAAGAACUUUUCGUUGUUUACAAAACAAUUUUCCCGGUGGUCGAAUUGUUAUGCUUACAGCUUGCUCUCCACCUAGUGGAAAGGACUUCGUGCUUCGGGAUACGAAAACGUCUGAAAAAUAAAUGUAGCAGUACCUCUGUACUCUACAUCUGAAAUAUCUGAAUCGCAAUAAGAAAAUGUGGCAAAUAUAAAAAAAAAAUAAAAAUGACAGAAUGAAACUUGCCACCGGAUAAGUAUAACAUUUAUAAAGGUAGGUAUUUAAACUAGCUUUAGAAGAGAGCUUUUAAAAGAGGUAAAGAAAACUCAUUGAAAUACACUCAAGAAAUGCAUCACUCUAUGGACUCUAACCAAAAAGAUUGGAGUAGACUAGAAGUUCCAAAAAAAAACAUUAACUACUACGAAGGAGUAGGGUUAACGAAUCCAGACAAAUAUUAAAUAAUAUAGAAGAAAAGCAGAAGAAAAUGAUGGGUCUCUUUAUUCGACAUGACUCAAUAAUACUAAUGUCAUAACAGGGCAGACAGAGGCGUGAAGAGGAAGAGAACGAUCAAGAAGAAAGUACAUAAUAGCCGAAGGAAAAGGCAAAUAUAUUAUUAAAGAAGAAAUACGGGAAAAUAUAGUAAAUAAUGACAAUGGAAAAUGACAAGUGCCAAGCAUCUAAAUAAAGUUGAUUAAUACAAAUGGUAUGCUGUGCUCCAGAAAAACUUAAUAAUAUGACUUAUGAAAUCUUCAAAGCAAUUUAAAAAAAAAACGGGGAACCUAUCAAAUUAGAAACAAAAGACUCUAAAACAAAUUGAGCAACUAGAGAGCUAAAGGAUAAUAUGGAAAAUUAGAAACAAAUAUUCAAGUAGUCUCCGACGUGCUUCGAGGUAUAAUUGUGGCUAAUGUGAUCCACAGAGCGGCGUGAAAAAUAUAUGUUGCGGUAAUGAAGUGCAACAUGUUCUGCGGUCAACGGGUUCGACGCGUCUGGUGAAUCUACAGAGCGGUUUAAAGGAGAUAUGGAUCAAAUUAAAAGAUUUCUUCGCAACGGAUAAAGAAGAUUAGGUCAGAAUAAAGUGUGUUAAAUUAAAAGUGGUACCUGUAGUACGUGUACAAGAGUAAGUCUUCAGGCAGGGGUAAGUUUUCAGUUUUUACCGCGUCCAGUCACAUGGCCAAAGAAUAAAUAAUCACAAUUAAUAUUGAAGGUAAAGUAAUUUUUUUAUAAAUUAUUUAAAACAGCAUGGCAAGAAGUGGCGAUACGAAAAUACCAACGACACUUUCAUAACUGACCUAGUUGUAAUGACUGACAUUUUGCUGGUUGCCAUUUUAAACUUUUUCCUUGAAUAUUUAAAGUUGAAUUUUGCAUUGAUAGUUUACACUUUGGCGGCUUGAAAGCUAAUAAAAUACUUUUAUGAAAAGACUUCACGUCGUAUGUCGUACAACGGUGUAAAAUUUACACAUGACAGAAGACUGUCAUUGGUAAAUUGUGUAUCCAUGUCGUGUGUUGUUAAACCUUUAUUUUCGUUCAUUGUAUAUGAAAAAUCAAUGAUCGCUCAUGACUUCUAUUAUUUAAAUACAUUUUGCGUUACAUAAAAUCUUUAAAUUUUUAAUAAAAAAAAAUAAUUUCAAUAAAUUGAUAAAAAAUAAAAAGACGCUAAAAAAUGCAAAUAUAAACAUAUUUUAAAAAUACAAGCGGUUUAUUUAUUGGUAAUCUUUUUCCAAUAAAGUACUUUAUUGGAUGUCUAUCUAUAAAAUAAAACCUAAAAAAAAUGAUUUUCUUUAAAACUUUUUUAACGGCUUUUAUAUAAAUUAUCGACUUCAACAAAAGGAGAAUGGUUAGUACCGGCGUGCUAUUCGCACGAAAUUAAAAAGCGGUCAAGUGUUACGUGGAGUUAAACUGCGCAGAACGAUCCCAAUUUUACACCAGUCUUGACUGACGUGUAACGCAUGAUAGGCGCCUUUUGCGUCUAAAUACAGGUGAAUAUAAUUCAAUUUAACCAAUUCACCUAAAAAAACAUUUGACUGAAAAAAAAAUAAAACAAAAAUACGUUUUUUUUUAAUAAAAUUACUGCGGCUUGCGGUGUUUUCCGCAGAACGGUCCCAAUUUUACGCCAGUCUUGACUGACGUGUAACGUAUGACAGGCGCCUUUUGCGUCUAAAUACAGGUGAACAUAAUUCAAUUCAACCAAUUCACCUAAAAAAAACAUUUGGCUGAAAAACAAUUCAAACAACAAUACGUUUUUUUAUAAAAUUACUGCGGCUUGCGGUGUUUUCCGCAGAACGAUCCCAAUUUUACACCAGUCUUGACUGGCGUGUAACGCAUGACAGGCGCCUUUUGCGUCUAAAUACAGGUAAAUAUACCUAAUUAAAUUCAACCAAUUCGCCAAAAAAACAUUUGAAAAAACAAAAAUUCAAAGAACAAUACGUUUUUUUAUAAAAUUACUGCGGCUUGCGGUGUUUUCCGCAGAACGAUCCCAAUUUUACACCAGUCUUGACUGUCGUGUAACGCAUGACAGGCGCCUUUUGCGUCUAAAUACAGGUGAAUAUAAUUCAAUUUAACCAAUUCACCGAAAAAAACAUUUGACUAAAAAAAAAUUCAAACAAAAAUACGUUUUUUUAUAAAAUUACUGCGGCUGGCGGUGUUUUCCGCUUGUUAAAAAAAAAAACAAACUAAACAAUUGGUAUUUAAAUUACUGAUAUAUAUUUUUGCUUUUCAAGCUGCCUCUGUGGUACCCAUGUGACUGCUCGCAAAAGAUUUAUCGCGGAACUGCCACUGAUUAUCGCUUAACGAGCAAAGGUAUCGAGAUUCGAUUAACAAAGUAAUAAGAAAUGUACUUAAUGUCAUUAUUUUCAUACUUCAUUUGUGUGGGUUCAUGGACGCAAAAUCAGUAUAUCACAUUGUCCAGACCCUCAAGUAUUUCAUGUCUCAUUAAAUCUAUAACCAAGUGAUCUAUGUAGAUUAAUGUAGAUGUAAAUUCAAACUCAUUCAUAACCUCAUUAUUUUUUGUCUCGACAUCACUUUUGACAAAAUUCUCAGUGUGCUUAUAUUGCGAAGAUUUAUGUGUUCGCUUCGCAAAGCUUAAAAUUUUCGAGUAGUUUUUUUCUCAUUAUUGCACCUUAACAUCGAAACAAUGUAAAAAUCGUAUUCAAUGUGGCAGAGUUAAUAAAUUUAUAGAUUUUCUAUUAAUGUACAUUUCUAUUAUUUUGACGUACCUUGGAUGUCCGGAUGGGGAUGCCCGUACAAUCGGGAAAGGUCUGUUACUAUGGCAACCCCGUGUGUCCCCUCCGGCGGCGCUUAGGGAUCCGUGACUAAACUUACUGACCACCAAAGUCUUCUAACGGCUGAAGACCCGAAGACUUGGAGUUUCUUAGAACUCUUGUUUUGUACUCAAGAUAGUACCUAAUACUAAUAUAUGUUCAAGGCGGCGCAAAUUGAAUUUUAAACUAUAAUUCUAAUACUUCUUGACAUUUUAAAAGGUUCCCGCUGAAAAUUACAAGGGAUACCUAGCAAAUUAACAAAAUAAACAUACUCGACUUGAUUUGAAUAUUUUUAGAAUAUUAUUGGAGUAGGUACCGUAAAAAAACGGUGAAUAUGUCAACUCCAGACCAUGGCCCAUAAAGUAAGGCGAAUAUUAUAUAGAGUCAAAUACGACACAAACGACGAAUAAAUAUACAAUAGUUCACCAAAACGCGCCAAGCCUUUAUAUUAAUAACAAUUAAAUGCUAAUAUUAUUUUUGGGCCAAUUAUUUGUAAAAUAUUGAUUUCAAAAGUCGUUGUGUCGUUGAGUAUACGAUCCUAAUCCAGGUUUUCCCCUUCAGGGCAACCGUGUUUCGAUAAGCUUAAACUCAUAAACUUCUAAAUUUAAUUGUCAAAGUGUGUUUUUCAUUUGUCAAAAUUUUUGAGGAUCGUGUACUAUCAAACGGGGUGAUUUAAAUCGGUUGAGAACCCGAUGGCUUCCAAAGCUCUGCACCCCGAUA